UGCAGAAUCCCGUGAACCAUCGAGUUUUUGAACGCAAGUUGCGCCCGAGGCCAGCUGGCCAAGGGCACGUCCGCCUGGGCGUCAAGC
RNAcentral lists this ribosomal RNA (87 nucleotides) under Herminium sp. US:3560501. RNAcentral's name for it is "partial 5.8S ribosomal RNA". It matches the Rfam family "5.8S ribosomal RNA", at positions 73 to 154 of the family's 154-position model. Rfam says of the family: 5.8S ribosomal RNA (5.8S rRNA) is a component of the large subunit of the eukaryotic ribosome. The record is from RNAcentral. Lineage: Eukaryota; Viridiplantae; Streptophyta; Magnoliopsida; Asparagales; Orchidaceae.